Molecule: ribosomal RNA, 199 nt
Filed under: uncultured bacterium
Lineage: Bacteria
Description: partial 16S ribosomal RNA
Rfam family: Bacterial small subunit ribosomal RNA
Source: RNAcentral
ACGCUCGACACCUACGGAGGCAGCAGUCGGGAAUAUUGCGCAAUGGAGGAAACUCUGACGCAGUGACGCCGCGUGCAGGAAGAAGGUUUUCGGAUUGUAAACUGCUUUAGACAAGGAAGAACAAAUGACAGUACCUGUAGAAUAAGCUCCGGCUAACUACGUGUCAGCAGCCGCGGUAAUCUGAGCGGGCUGGCAAGGC